CCCACGUUUCCCUCACGCAAAUGUGACGUCACAUAGUUAAAUCUAUUGUUAAUUACAUUUGGUGUUGUUUCUAAAUGAUGCAAAUUAUCAUUUUUUUUCCAUCACGCAUAUGCAUAUUGUAUUAUAAAAAAUAUAAGCACGCAUUAUAACGUCCGCAAAUAGCCUAAAUAAAUGUAGAGCUAUACAAUUGUAUUUAUAAAUAUAAAUGUAUACAAAAAUAAUGCAAUAAACAUGCUUUACCAAAAUCAAAUGCCACUAAUUACAAAAUCAAGUUAAUAAAGGGCUAAAUCCCUGCAGCCAUACAAGUGUGUAGUGUAUAUAAUCCAAAAUGACUGUAAAAAUGUCUUCUUAGGUUGUGUAGUUAUGCCGCCUACUCAUGUUACUGUUAACGAUACAUAUUUCACGAAAAUGUUCCAAACAUUCUAGAUGCACCUGCUGAGAGUGUACAAAGUACAGAGGGCCACAUGCACUUACCACUGAACACGGCCUUGUCUGUCACAUGGGGUCAGUCAUAAGCAAUUCACGUAAAAUGUUAGGAUCAUACUUCUAUGCAUGCAUGUUUACAUAUACGCAUAUAUUUAUAAAUUAAAGUAACCUUAUAGACUGCUAAGUUACUAUGAGUUAAGUGACCAAAACAAUUCGGUGAUUCGAACUGUGCUAGGAGUCAAUUCAUGUUUAAUAAUACAAAUACAAAUGCACAAGAGUGCGCAGAAAUAAUUGAGAUAAUUUCAAAAUCUUACUUUUAACAAUUGACGUGCGUAUUCCUCUCUGUCAGAAAGUAAGCUACGAGUGGCCGUGUGUCGGGGACGAAUAGAGGUUCCCGUGCGUCUUGCGUUGAAGAACAUGACGCUAAAAUCUCUGGGCAGCGCGGAAGCAUCUAGUCAAAAGCCAAACUCUCCAGUUGCCUACAUCUCUUCAGCGAUGCGGUUUCCAUUCAGAACUCGCAGUCAGUACUCGUAUUCAGCCAUCGAACGUUGCGUCUCAGCCAUCAAGAGAACGGAACAGGCAGUUUAAUUUCCAAGAUGGGGAAUUCCUCCCUUGAAAAGCAUGCUUACAGUGUUCAUGCAUGGACGUGAGAAGAGAUGCAACGUUUACUUUAUGAAACCUGCAUGCGAUUGUCUCAUUCCCUUCCCUCCCGCGCUGUGGAUGAGAUGUUCUCUCUCUCCAGCUUGAGAGAGUCUAGUUUCUGACUAAAUGCAUCCUCUUCUGGCAGUUCUCUCCUGCAGUGACGUCACUCCAGCAGCAGGCAGCCGGGCGACCAAUCACAAUCACACGCGCGUGCUCCCUUUCUCCGCUUCUCUCUCUCUUGCGCGCUCGCUUUCCAUGGUUUGCGGAGUGCGCGCGGGACAGAGUGUCGCCUAUAGGUUGCAGAGUUCCUAUAGUAACCUAAAAUGAAUUAAGUUAUGCCUAUAAUUUCAGCUUUGGCCUAAAAUAUUUGCUUUUUAAAAUGAGUAAGAGGUUUAUUAAAUUCAAAAUAUGAAACUUUGUAAAAUAGGCUACUGAAGAUUCUGGAAACGAUAAAAAAAAUCUGGGGCUGAUUCUGGGGCUAAGGAAAAUACAAGAGCGUAAGUACAAUCAUGUUUUAAAAAUAUAUCUAAUAACCAUAUGCAGUUUGUUACAGGAGAAAAAAUGGCACUGUUAUAGAAGAAAAAGAAGAGCAGAUGUAAAUAUUUCCCGUAUACUUUUUGUUCUUGUCUCUGAUCACUUGCUAGGUUUCCACUGUUGCAUAAAUUCUUUUUAUUCAAACAUGUAACAGAAUACCUCAAAAAAGUUACAUUUCUUAUUGUUGCAUAUGUUACAAUUAUAUAUAUUAUAUUAUUACUAUAUUGCUACAGACAGUUUAUUUUACAGCCUCAAUUCAGACUUUAUGGCUUGUAUUAUAGACUAUAGAGUUUUUAACUUUAAAAGAAACAGCUAUACAGAAAUAAAUAAUUUAAGGCGCGAGCGUGUGCAAAAGAUGCCAUCUGAAACUGGUCAGCUAUAUAAAUAAUAAUUUCUUGAAAUCCACUGCAUCUGUUUACUCUCAUCGGCCAACUGUAGGCUAUAAUCAUUUAUUUCAUUUAAAAAAAAGUUACAUGACAGAUAUUUCAAACAUACACUCCAUUUCUACACCUCAUUUGGUUUUAAAUAAUUUACUUAUUGUCUGUAUAUAAUAUAACAUUCUGAGUGCUUACUGUAUUAUUAUUAUAAGUUGUUGUUUUUCAUUACUCUUGCAAAUGUAAAAGAAAAUGUAAAGGCACUCUUCACUUUAUAAUGUAGCCUAUUAUAAUAGCUUUAUAACAUGGAUAAGCGCACUCGCACAUUUAUGUAGUGUCAAUCUGUAAUUAAUCAGUAGGCUAAAUGAAAAAUGCAUGUGUCAGUCUUCUUGGGCUGGAGGCAGAAUGACCAUUCCGACAGCGGAUGGGGACUAAAUGCUGAUAUUUUCUUGACCCCAACACGCGUAAUGAAGUGUGUUUAAGUGAAGAGUCCGCUCUCUUCAUUCACAAAGGCCACCUGGGUUAAAUGAAUGUCCUGUGACUGUUGACCCAGCUGUGUCGUGCCCUGCAGAUGUUCCAGCACUUACUGUGUUGAUUUGAACCUGUAGGGCACUAAACGGGACUUUAACUAAUAACCAGACAAUGAACCUUCAGUCAUAUCAGAAGAGCGCAUUUCAUUUUUUAAGGUUUUUUGACUAUCAUCUUAAAACUGCAAACAGUAAUAAUGGGAAUAACUAAAAGUCUCUGAUUAUCAUUCAGUUUUACACCACAGUCUCCAUGUUAUUUCAGCCUAAACAAGUAACUGGGCUAAUGAUACAUGUUCUUAAUAUUUAAAAUGUGUAAAAACGCACUGCUUGCUAUCCUUAAUGCUGUAGCUAAUAGCAUACGAUAUGUCGACACUAAUGUUGCACUAAUGUGACUCAAGCGUUGCAAGGCCUUUUAUAAUCCUAUAGCCUAAGUUUAACAGCGCUUAAUGAUGGACAUGCAACGUGUGCCAACUACAGUCUUGACAUUAGCGACCCCUGGCGGUGAGUUUUCUCUUUAUCAAGCGCGCAUUCAGGCGCUUCAUACUAUUAGGUUUCUGUCCAAAUAAAUGCAAAUAGUUAAUGGUUUCAAAGAAUUUAUAAAAUUGUGUAAGUGCUAUGUAGACGGUCCUAUCUUCCAUGUUUUUGAAGUUUAAAGAUAUAGAAUGAAAGUCUCAAUAUGCUGCAGCGUUGAAUUGUGAUUUUCCAUUUAAAAUGCAGAGAUAACGUCACCCUUCUGUAACACUCACAGAACCUGCACAACUUUAUUUUAUAAUCUGUUCGAAGAAAACGAUACAAAACGAUACAUUUUAUUUAAUACAAUCUUAUCAUACAAGUGCGUAUUCUACACCCAUAUAGAUGAUGUAGUUAAGCUGGGUUUAUUUACAAUUUAUUUUUUUAACAGUAAUCUCUAAUCAUCACUCAUUUGCAAUCAUUUACACAAUUUGUUUAUAAAAACCAGCUAUAGCCUAAUUUCUUACAGUCUCUAUCAUAAAUGUACAGAAGAAACGGAUACAACGAGCCAAAGUAGACAAUCUACAGUUUCUCUUUGUUUUUUUUUUAUUUGUUUUUUUGCCAUUAAAGGUCGAUUUUACACAAUUGUAAACUGUGCUUCGUUGUCAUUCAUUUAUGCAAUUUUAUGCGUUAUCAUAUUAGUCUCCUCCUGUGGUUGCAGAUAUAUGCAUGUGCUCAUUUAUGAAAAUUAGGAAAAUCCAACUUUUGC
Cyprinus carpio carpio is the source of this 3722-nucleotide long non-coding RNA. NCBI's taxonomy places the organism in Eukaryota, Metazoa, Chordata, Actinopteri, Cypriniformes, Cyprinidae. The record is from Ensembl.